RNAcentral lists this long non-coding RNA (16822 nucleotides) under Cicer arietinum (chickpea). RNAcentral describes it as "long non-coding RNA (CARI_LNC001672)". Lineage: Eukaryota; Viridiplantae; Streptophyta; Magnoliopsida; Fabales; Fabaceae. The record is from RNAcentral.
CACGUAGUAGUGAGUGAGUACUAGUAAAAGAAUCCAUUUCUACUUUCUACACCCCCCUUGUUUCAUGCAGUACACAAUCUCAGAUGCUUCAUUAAAUACUUGAUGUCUUUUAAUUAAUACUCGUCUCAUCAUGCCUGCCAUCAUUUUCACUACACAACAAAACACAUUCAAUUUCAACACUUACGUUUCAAAACCUACCUAUACCUAGCACCUCACAUCACACACAACCAUUCAACUUUAAUUAAUAAUAAUUCAUUAUAUAAAGUAAUUAGGGUGAAUAAGUUUUACUACUACUACGUACAACUACAUUGUAUUGCUCAUUUUACUUCAUCACUGUUAAUUUACCUGUAGUACAUUCAGACACAUUAAUUCAUCAAAAUUAUGUCUUAUUUAUUUUAUUAUUUUUUCAUCCUAAUUAAUUAAUUAAUUAUUGUUGAAAAAGUAGAGACAGAGUUGGUGGCGUUGCCACAUGCGGCGUUUCUCGCUCUCUUCUCCAUCUUCACAACGCUACAAUAAAUUAAUUUUCAGUAUCCAUGCAUCAACAUUCAAAUAUUAAUUUACAAAUAAAUGUAAUAUAAGCAUUUAACAACCUUCGAUGAAAAUCAACUUGGAUCGGUUCGGUUGUGAUACCUGCAGAUUCAAAACUAACAAAUUUAUAAAAAAGUUAAUUAAGAUACAUAUAAAAGAAUGAAGAAGCAAAUGUUGGGUGGGAGGAAUGAAGCCUGGUCCGAGGAUGGGAUCGGAUCAGAUCGAUGAGAAGUAAUAUGACCUCGAGCCAGACAACAUUCCUCUCAACCUAACCUUUGCAGACGAGACGAGGAUGAAGAUAGAAGAGAUAAAAGAAGUAGUUUAAUUUGAGGGGAAUGAAGCCUGGUCCGAAGCUUUAAUUUAUAGAACGAGGGAAGGUGUAAGUGGGUGAAAAGAAAAGCCUCGAGCCAGCCAACAUUCCCCUCAAGAAGAAAGAUAUAAGAAAGUGAGAAAACCCUAAGAGUUGAUAGAGGGUGUUAUAUAGUAGUGUAGAGAAGAGAGAGCAUAGCAAAGAACAGCUCAGCAGAUGCCAGAUGAGAUGGAGUUAGCACUGAUUCUCACUAAUCAAGUAAUAUAAUGCUGUUUUUUACACACCCUCUCUCUCUCUCUCUCAAACUUCCACCCUGUCCCCAAAACUACCUUUCAAAUACGUCUUUUUUAAUUACUUUCUAUCAGUUUUUUUUUGACUAAAUUGUAAUAAAUUAUUUUUAUUUUAUAUUUUAAAAUAUUAUUUUUAUUUUAUAUUUUAAAAUAUUAUUUUUAUGAAAGCUUAUUUAACUUUAUUAUUUUUAUGACUAAAUUGUAAUUCCAAAAAAGUUAUUUCAAACUCAUUAUGAAAGGUUAUCUUUUUUUAUAAAAUAACUUAUCAUUUUUUGAAAGUUCAUUUUCCACAAAUAAUUUUAAUAUAUAGAUGAAAUACUUAAAAUGAUAUUUUUUUUUAUAAACUAUUUAAUUAAUCAAUUUUUCAUUUAAAGUUUUAUUAAUUUUUAAAAUUCUUUUUAAAAAAAAUUAAAAAGAUAAAAUUAUAAAAGUUCUUUUGAAAAACAGUUGUAACAAUUUUCAAAACAAUAAUGAUCCAUGUUCACUCAUUUUUUUUUAAUAUUUGUGCGAUACUUGAUUAUUUAUGUGUUAAAAUUUUAUUAAUUCGGUGAGUAGAUUGUUAGAUUAAGUCAUGUAAAAAAAAAUAUAGUUAAACAAAUUUUUUCAAACAAACGUUCGUUGUUAAAAAUAAUUUCAACGUUAAAAAAUUACAAAUAAAUGAACAAGUAUAACAAUUUUAUGAAAGUAUCUUAAUUAACUAUUGACUAUAAAUAAUUAAUAUAAAUACAUUGUAAGAUGUAACGACUUAAAAGAGGUGCAUAUUGUUUCCAAGUAAUUUGGUGCAUAUCAAUUUAUUUUUUGUUACACACUUAUCAUAUAUGUUUGAAUUGAUGUUGAAAUUAAAAGAAUACUGAUAAGUCACGGAAUUAUUUUAUAACUUUUACAAAAUUAUAAUGUCACAGUAAUUAUGCAUAACUUAAAUGAUAUGAUCUAUUUAUCUUUAAACAAAAACAUUAAUUGUGUUUUUUUUCUUCAUAUUUUAAUCAAAUUAAAUAAUAAACUAAUAUAAUGUGUAAAUUUUAUGUGGUAUAUUUAGAUUAGAGUAUGAUUUUUAUAAUUAAGAGACAAAGUGGAGCUACACUAACAGCUGCGUUAAUUACGUCAAAAGAAACAAAUACCGAUGCAAAAUUUUGUACUUACCCAACACAACCAAUUCACAUUACUAAAUACAAAAACAUCUGACUACUUAUAACUGAGAUUUAGGAGAGGCCCUCCCUCGCUGCCUACAACUAUAGGGACUACUUUGUAUUUAUAUAUAUAUAUAUAUAUAUAUAUAUAUAUAUGCAACUCUCCAUGUCAAAAAUAAGUGAGUUAUUUUACUAUUUUAAAUAUAUUAAUUUAAAAAUUAUGUUUAUUCAAUUAUUGUUAAUAUCAGAAAUAUAUAUAAUAAAAGUUAUUGUAUUAAAAAUAAUGCAAAUAACCGUUGUUUUUUAAAUGAUUUUUUUUCUUCAAACGAAUCACUAAUUAUAGAACAGAGAUAAUCAUAUUUUAUAUAAAUUGUCUAUUAAUUUUAGAUUCAUUUAUAUAUUUUACUGUUUUAGAAAUAUAGUUAAUUGUCUCGCAGUUAUAGUGAUCUCCUCUUUAUUUAUAUUUAAUGUGUAAAUUUUGUUUUAUGAUAAAAUAAAUUGUUACCGAAGAAUAUUAUUUAUAGUAAAAAGAACCACGUAACAAAACCUUUUUGAAUUACUUAAUCAAAAUGUAUGCGAUCUUAAACUGAUAGAGAAUAUUUUUUAUUAAUUGUCCAAUAUAGUCGCGAUUGUAACUGUAUAUCUUAUUAUUUGCAAUCUUCUAAGUACUGCUCUAGAAAAAUAAGAUUUAUCAUUUUUAUCUAUAAAUUAAGAGUAAUAUGUAACUUAGAGGCAUAUGUUAAAAUGACCAAAAGAUAAAAAUAUUUUUAAAAAAUAAUUUUUUAAAUUUUUAUAAAGUUGAAUGCAAAAUUAAAUGUUUUAAAACAAUAAUUGAAAAGGAAAAAAUAUCCAUAGUAGUUAAUAAAUUUGAAAAUUUGAGAAACAAAAUCUAUAAAAAAAAAAAAAUUCAUCAAUAGGUUGUAUAUAUAUUUAGAGAGGAAGUUAAUACUCCCUCAGCCAUACAAUAUAAGCCAUUUUCAGAAAAUACAUAGUUGUCUUAUUUUAUAUGUUAUUGAAAUACAAUUUUUUUUUCUUUUUAAUAUAACUAUUAAUUAUUGAUCACUUUUUUUUUCCUUUUAAGAUUCAUGAAAUCUGUCUUUCUUCAUAUCAUUUAUAAAAGAAUUUACUAUAAGAUUUCUUUUUUUUUUUUACUUGAAUGAAAGAUUAUUAUAGAAAAUAAAUUAUGUUUUUCAUAAAAUCACUAAAAUAACUUAUUUUUUUCAUUUGUAUCAUAUUUUUUUAACAAAAACUUCAUACAACCUACCUGAUUAUAAUUGAGAUUCCUUUAGAAAAAUUUGUCUUUAAAAAACUAAUCAUUAUUUCAAACAACCAAAUUAUAGAUAUAUUUUUUAUUUUAAAAUCUACUCCUUGUUAAUACCAAUGAUUUUUUUAGGAGAUGAAAAGUCAGAAUUAUACACAUUUAUAUAUAAAAGACUAGUUUAAUAUCCAUUUUCACACAAUGAGUGACAAUAAUGUAAAAAAAAAUGUCAAAGUGAAUAUUAACUAUAUUUUUUCAACUGUAUCUUUAAUUUAUACUACAUGCAAAACUCUUGAUUCAAUAUAUUAAAUUAUACAUGACUGAUAUAAGUUUUAAUUUAUAAUGAUUAUUUUAUGAUUUUCAAAGAACAAGUUUCCAUCACGGAUUAUAAAAUCAAGAAAAUAACUAUUUUUCUUAAUGUGUGUCAUAAAAUCGUUUAUCAUAACAUGUCCCUUAUUACAAUUAAAAUUCAUUUAGAAAAAUUUUGUCUUUAAAAAUAAUAUUUAUUUAAAGUUAUUAGAUAUAUUUAUUAUUAUUUUCAAAUAUGUUUUUUUAUUAAUAAUACUGAAUGUUUUUGGGAGAUAAAAAUUAAUAGUCAAAUGCAUUUAAAUAUAUAAAAUGACUCGUUAAAUAUUUUCUCUUUUUUACAAUGAGUGAAUACAUUUUCAAAAAUAUUGUCUCAAAAUAAAUAUUAUUUUAUAAUUUUCAAUGUAUUAUUAAUUACAUAUAUCUAAUUGUAUAAUAUAAUUAAUAUUACAUACAUGCAUCAUUCUCAAUCCAAUAUCUUAUAUUACCUCUUUUCAUAUAUGUAAGAGUAUGUUGAUUAAAUUACAAUAAUUUAAAAAUUAGUUGUAAUAUUAAAUUUAUUGAUAAUUUAAAUUGUUUUACGUGUUUAUCUUUAAAAAAAUGAUUUUGUUGUUGUAUUUAUUAUAAAUUACAGAAAAGAUCUAAUAUAAUUAGAGAUAAGUUAAUAAAUAAAUAAUUAAUAUAAUUAAAAAAAAGUGAAAUGUGUCUUAUAAAAAUGACCAAAACAAAAGUCUCAAGGGAGUUUAAUAUUUGAGACAAAACUAAUAUAUUUUGCGUUCAUGGUAAUGGUAAGUAACUCAAUACUUUGUAAUAUUAGUUUAGCAAAAAUACUCUUAUAUCUCUUUAUUUAUAUAUAUUUUUUAAUGUAUUUGAUAUAUAUAUUUUAAUGACAAAAAAUAAUUUGUAAAUAGGAGAGAAGUAUAAUGCAAUCAUAUACACCUUUUCGAUUUUAAAUAUAAGAAAAAAAUUAUUCAUUUUUAUGUGUUAAGUAUAAACAAUAAAUUGUUUAUUUUUACUCUUCUGAUGAUGUAUAUUCUAAAGUAUUUUCAAUUAUUGUAAGUUUUAUUUUACAAUAAAAUGACACUUUUAAUAAUAAUACACUUAUAUUAUUUAUUAAGUAAAAAACAAGUACUAAACUUAUUUUUUUUAGUAAGUGUGAUAUUAUUUAUUUUUAUUUUUAAUAAAAACAUAAUUGCACUACCACGGUUUUAAUUAUAAUAAAAAAAUAUUUGAUGGUUUAAAUUAUAAAUAAAAUUUAACUAAUUUGAAUAUAUUUAAUAUUAUUAUCUUCAAUAUAUUAUUUAAUAAAAUAAGUUUUCAUACAAAUAUAGGAUAAUUUCUGGUCUAAACAUAGAACUUUUUAUUAAAAUAAAUUUAACAUCUAUAAAUAUAUUUAUAUUUAUUUUUAGUUAAUGACACUAACAGAUCUCGAAUCUAACUUUCUUUAAUAUAUAUUUUUUUAUCAAUAGACAUUUAAGAGCAUUUGUUAAAAAUUAAAAACAAAAUUUAUAUAAAUUAUGUUAUAUUUUUUAAAAGAAAUGACACAAAAUGAGUUGUUAGCAUAGCUUAUAUAAUCUGUAUUUCUGAAAUGGAAUGGAGAAGGCAAUUAAAAAGCAGCGACAUUGUUUGACCUGCAGGUGCCGGUGAAACAACGGGGCUAUUACCUGUUACCUGAAGGUGGGUCCCAGUGAAACAGAGAGAAGAAGACAAAAGCAUUUCUUUGAAUGCGAUUCUUUCAUCAUUACCUUAUUAUUUUUAGCCUUUUUCAAUCCCUACUUUUCAUUUCUCUUGUACUCCAUUACAUUUGCACGCCCACUCUCUGUCACUCACACGCUCCUCUCUUUUAUUUUUUAUUUUACUAAAACACUCUUGUUGGACAAUCUUAUAUUAUUAUGCAUAUUGACCUUUGGAACGUACGAUAACUCUAAUAAACACCACGAAACUCGCUUCGUCAUAUAUAUAAUAUCACUUUGUUUAUUCAAUCAACCCCCUAUAACUAUAACUAUAACUAUAAGCUAAGCUACUUUAUGUUCGAUCUCUGGUCCCAGCAAAGGUAACUGUUGACUUGUGAGCUUCGAUCACCAAACCCAAUGUAGAUGUAGCCAUGUUUUUCAAAAUCGCAUCAGCCACCGGAUUUUAUAAAAUUAAAAUUUUAGUUUUUGCAAAUUGAAAAACUUAUUAAUAAAUUUGAUUUAUUUUGUAUUUCGUGUGAAAAUAUUAUAAAAAUCAAGUCAAAUUGACUAGUUUUUAUAGGGACUUCUACGAUGAGAAAUUAAUGAAAUCUUUCACUAUAAAUCAUAUUUAUCAACCGUUAAAUUAAAUAAAGGAUUUUAUCAUACAACAUACUUCAAUGAAUCUCUCUUUUCUUCCUGCUAUUAUAUAUCUUUGUAAUAUGUCCCACGUUCAUAUUCUAUUUCCUAUCUAUUUUGUUAUAGAUAAAUGCAAAUGUUCGGUAAUCUUUCAUCUUUGGUCCUUUAAAUAAUUUGUUUUUGUUUUAAAAUUUUGAUUCUUUUAGAAAAUUAAUAUAUAAUUAAUGACAUUUUUUAUUUUGUACCCUUAAACAACUAAAAAACAUAUGUUAAAUAAAUUUAUUUUUACUUAAUGAAUAAAAAGUAAAAAAUAAACUAAAAUCAACCAAAUUUAUCAUUUAUUAAAAUGAGUGUCCAAAACUAAAAGAACUAAAAUUAAGAGAAAAGAAUUAAAAUUCAGAGGAAAUGUAAUUUAUUAACUUAUUCUCAACACGUUCACAUUAAAAUAAAAAGAAAAAAGAAUUCAUAUAAAUAACCUAGUUGCAAAGAAUGAGUAUUUUCAAUAUGGCAAACAUAUGGUGUAGCACAAUAGAGAAAAAGAUGAUAAAACCACUCAACAAUGAUCGGAAACACAAUUAAAUCACAAUAUGAAGAAAUAGUAAACAAGAAAGAUUUUAAGUUAUAAAAAAAAGCACUAGCAUAUCUAGAGAAGAUGCAUUUACUCUAACACAAUUUAGGUAGAAGAAAGUCGAUCUAUUCUAGAUUUUCUUCCUACAACUCAUAUAAAUUAUAAUUAGCCUCAUUAAAAUUUUAUAUACACGUAGUCAACUCAACUCAAACUAAUUUUUCUUAUAAGGAUGUACUCAAUCUUUUUCUAACCUAACUCCAAUUUACUUUUUCGCUAAUUAAAAUAUGUGUAUAAGUUGAAUUGUCUUAUAAUUAAGAUUGAAAAACGGUGAUUAUUAAAGGGUAGAACCCAUGGAUAGAAAAUUAUAAGUGACCUGACACAAUAUUAAUCACAAUUGAUUAUAUUAUUUUUGAUUUAUAACGUCGAAGCAAUAACUAUGUCAAUGUCAUAUAAAAUAUAUAUAUAUAUAUAUAUAUAUAUAUAUAUAUAUAUAAUUAUUUAAACCCUGACAUUUAUUAUUUUAAAUGAGUAGAAAUUACAUCAAUUAAAAUAAUACAAUUUAAUGACACUAAAAUAAAAAAGAUAAAUCUGAAAAAAAAAUUAUAAUAGUUAAGAUAAUAAUAUUUUACAAAAAUGUCAACAAAUUCGAUAAAAGUAUAAAUAUAAUAAAAUUGAUACGUCUAAAAUAUUUUUUAAAGUUUGAUAUGUAGCUCGUCGACUUAAAAUACUAAUAUAUGCGAUAAAUUGUGGGACUCCUUGGGAGUUUCUUAUGUAGAUCACCGUUGCAACGUAGAUUGAAUAAGUUGUUUUAAAGUGACAUGGCUUAAUAAGAGCAGAACACGCCCAAUCUUGUUCCCAUCAUACGAUGCACACUAAAUACAUAAUGUACACGUUGUCACUAAUUUAUGAGAAAAAGUAAGUCAAUAGAAUUUGGGAAUUUGAAUAAAAAGAUUAAUUGAAAACAUAUUUGUGAAUCAAAAUGAUUAAUAAGAUUUAUAUUUAAAUAUAUUCAAUUUAUUAUUAUUUUAUGUUUAAAAAUAGUAACACAUCGUUUUUUUACAUAACUUUGUAAUAAAUUUGUUAAAAAAUACAAAAAUCUAAAAAAGUUCAUAUUUAUUUUUUAAAAAAUGCAUAUUUUUGUCAAAUUCAAACUAAAAUUAUAUGUUCUUCUUAACUUUGGUUUUGUUUUUCAAAGGUUAUUUAUAAUUAGGGAUAAAGUGUUAGAGGUGAAAAAUAGCUAGACUAAACUGUACUUUACAGCAUUUGAAUUAGAUCUAUUUUAAAAAAAUUUAGAUUUGAGUCUAAUAUAAUUUUUUUCAGGAACCUAUUUUUAAAGUAUAGUAUGAUCUUUUAAAAUAUAUAAUUUUAUAUAACAUUAAAUUUAAUUAUAUUUUAUAAUAAUUCUUUAAAUAUAUUAUUAAAAUUGAUAUAUGUCGGCAUAUUUAAAUUACAGAAAAUGUCAAAAAUUUAUAAUUUAACUAAUAUAAAACUUGACAUUUGUAAUAAUUAUAGUAAUAAGUUUUUUUAUUUCAAUGCUUUAUUUUCUUCAUUUUUAGUGAACAAAAUAUAUAUUUAGCUAUUAUAAAAUAAAUAAUUCAUUUUAAAAAAUAAAAUGAUUAAUAUCAACUAUUAAUCAUCAAAUAAAUGAUUAUUAUUUUGUGUGAAUAAAUCACAAGUGUUUAUGAUAUCGACAAUGGAUCAGUUUAUUUCACCAACUUCCCAUUUCUUAAGAGGUAAAUUCACAAAAAUAGUGAUAAUACUUUUGACGACUUAUAUAUAAAAAUGACUUAAUUAUAAUUUUAAUAUAUUUAUUUUUAUCAAUUAAUAUAAUUGAUGACCUUUAUUUAAAAAUCAAAUUUUUUAAUAAUUUAUUAUAAUUUAAAAAAUAUAACAACAUAAAUCAUAUAUUAAAUUAAUUUAUAACAUAAAUCAUAAUUAUAUAAUUUAAAAAUCUGAUUGAGCAUUAAAAGAUGUCUGAGUUUUAGAAAAUUUCAUGAUUGAAAAUAUAGAAAAAAAACAACUGCAAUAUAAAAAAAAAAAAAAAAAAAAUCGAUUAGAGGGGCUGUUUCGUGGUCCAAAUGGAUGACUAGGAUUUUGGUGGAAUUGUAAGCUGCAAAGAUAGCCACGUGGUCCAAUUGAAUGCUGGUGGGUCCCAGUUAGAGGGGACAUUAGCACGUGUACACGGAGCUAUGUGUGAAGAUGGGGGACCACCAUUAGUUUGGUGUAGGGACCACCAUUUUCAAUUAUGGGAUCAUCAUAGUGCUCAUCAGUAAGUUGUGAGUAUAGUCGUUGCGGCGAUAUAUUGCGCAUUUCCCGGGUCCUUAACUUCUUGUAUUUGAAUUCGGGUCGGGUUUAUAUUUAACACCCAACAAUCUCUCUUCUCAACCCUGUUAGUAGCAUUAUAGUCUAGUAGGACCCACUCUUACUGAUAUCAAUAGUAACAUAAUCAAAUACAGAAAUAGGUUAGCCCUUGCUAGUAAUAACAAACUAUAACAACGAUUACACAUGUUCAUUUUUUUUAUAAAAAAAGUACACGUAUUUAGCAGCACUAUUAUUAUUUUUGACCUAAGUAGCAUUAUUUUACUUAAUGUUAUUCUGAAGGAGGUUAUUUUCUCGCAUAAAGAAAAUAUUAUUUUCACAAGUUAAAAAAAGUAAUUCAAAAAUAAAUUUUAGAUAUAUUUUUGCGUUUUUAUUGAUCCACUAGCUGAAUAUUUUCAUUAAUGUAAGUUAAUAGUAAUUUAUAAAGUAAAAAUUUGUCAAUUUUUUAUAAAGAAUAUAACUCAUAAAAUUUUAAACUUUGAAAAUAACAAAUGAAUAGCAAUAUAACUUAUUUAAAAAAAUGGACAAAUUAAAGAAAGGAAGAAGAUAGCAUAUUUUGCUUUUGUAAUUGUUGUAUAGAGAGGAAGUGAAAUUUGUAUCUUCCCUCAAUUCUCGAGCCAAUACACAGGAAAGUCAUGUCCCAAUGUAUUGACUUAUCAGCGCAGACAUUUAUUACCUAUCUGCACUUAUGAGGAAGAUGUGUGCAUUUCAGACGAUGGUAUCCAAAGAUGUUUUGUUUUAGCUUUGUCACAACUUCAAAGCAUUGCAUUUUCCACAAAAACCACAUCGCAAGCUUUAUUAUUUUUAAAAGUAUAAUCACAACAGUAAUUUAUUGCACACUUGCUGAAGGACAAAAACUGGACUAAACAAAGCUGAAUUACAGGACCACUGCAAUGAAUGUAGAAUACGUAAUUUUAUUUUUUUUAAAUAGUUGGGAAGUAAUAGUAGGUGCUGCUGCGAAAAAACAGGGUGAUGGUCAUUUCUGACUACUGUCAUACUACAAUUUAAUCCUUCUCUAUAUCUUGCUAGUUGCCAUCCAGAGCAUAAAGAUGAUCUGCAAUGUUCAAUUUUGAAAACUAUCUCACUGCCGUACCACGUUGCAUGGAUUCCCAUUCCCAUAUGCAUCAUGCUUGACGGAUACAAUGCAUUCAUUGGCGUAUUGCAAAAUGAGAAUAUCCAUACUACACCCUAUACCAACAGAGACGCGGAAUCUUUUUCAAUUAUGAUGCUACAAAAGCAUCAACCGUAGGGUGACAAUUAAGAUUAUAUAGGCUUUAUAUGAUUGCAUCACCAACUACGAUUACUUAAGCAUCCUACUAACUUUUCCUGAGGAACAGAGCAAUGACAUAAGCUGUUGCUUCAAUUCAUAUAGUAAGAGGAAUUUCCAUAACUCAGUUCAACCAAAAAAAUUAACAAAAUACUACUAUAUAUCUGAUUCCUAUCAUCAUUCGCAUUUACAUCUUAUGAGGCAGUUUUCUAAGAAAGUUUUGUACAUCAAGCAAGAUUUAUUUGUAAAUAUAUAUGUGAUUUUGAUUUCCUGGUAAAAGAAUGAUAAAAUACAACAAGGAUAAUAUAUGCGUCAAAUACAGGAUGCAGCAACCUGGAGCCUCUUGGAUGGGUAGGAAGUUGUACAUUUUGCAAAUAUGAUGAUCUAUAGAAGAUACAUGGGGCGUGCCGAUUAUUACUUUGUUUUCAGAUUAUUACUUUAUUUUCCGAAACUUUUAUUGAAUUGCAGGAGCAGCCACACCUAUGCAUAUUCAAGUAUAGCACCGGUAUGAUUGAAACCACAUGAAACUUGCAAUGCUUUCACGUUUUCUGGAAAGCAAACUCUUGAAGGAUUUAUAUAAUCCACAUCACUUCCAUGACCCUGAGUUGAUAGCAUAAGCUUCAUUUAUAGUAGUGCAAUGUAUAUUUUGCAAAAUCAAAGGCAAAACACUAAUCAAUUUUAUUUAGGUGCACGGGUCCCACUAAUCAGACUGCGCACACUUCUAAGGAAACGUGACUCUUAAAUUUAAUAUGAAGGAAGUUUCUAAGUGUAGUGUAUGAAUGGGUUAAUAAUCUAUAUGAAAAUCACGAUUAAUUCUAAAAUGUCUUACGACCUUAAAUAAUUUUUUCGGUUCUCUUGUAGGACUUGUCAUAGAAUACAGCAAUCAGACCAUUGUGAUAACUUUCUCUUGAUAAACAUCUAAAAAUACACAAUGAUUAUUAUAUGACAAACAGAAACAUACCAAUUGUCCACCCGAAGAAUGUCCAUCAUCAGAGAAAGUUCCAUUGGAACCUCCCCAACCCCAUGUGAAGAUUCUUCCUCCUGAAAGUCGAUGAAAAACUUCAGGAUAGACGGCAGCAAAAAAAUUCUUUUACAUCAAGCACAAGUCUUACAAGUUAGAGUUGAGUUAAAAAUUAAAUCAGUUUAAACAAACAAAAAAGCACAACGGAAAAAUGAGAAGCAUUCCUCCACAUGCUACAUUCCAAAAAAGUGAAUUUAUAACUCCAGCCAUGCGCAGUGCACAUGCAGCUCUGUCCAAAAAUCCAUGAAGACUAUGCCAGUUUACACGCAGGGAAAAGCACUUUUUAACCUUUAAAACAAACACUAAGUAUGCACCAACAAAUAAUGGAAACAAAUAAAAAGACUGAAAUUCUCCAAGAGGCAAGAAACCUAUUAACGGCUUUAAAUUUCUACUUCCUCAUUCCAAAAAAGAAAUUCAAUUAGCUAACUGUCUAUAAGACAAGUCUAAGCAGUGUAACUUGAAGAUAAAGCAAAACUUUUCUGAUACGUUUCUUGGCUGUCAGUACAUUUGCUCAAUGGCCAUAUAAAUAUGACAAUUGAAGUAGACAUGCUUCUUUUAUGGAAAAAGGGUGGGAAAAAAAGAUGCUUUUAAGUUCAUUUAAAGAUGUAGAAAAUGAACUGUAUAUAGGCACUUCAGCAAUCCCAGCUUCACACAGGACUAUAGGUAUUAUGUAGACUUCAAUUAUACUUCAUGUCUUUUAAUGCGAUUUCAACCAUUAUUCUCAGAGAUGAACUUUUCUUUUACCAUUUUGACAAGGGAAAUCCUUGGCUUCACCAAUAACUAUAAAUAAUUGAAACUAUCAAAUACAUAUUCAAUACAAAUAUUCAUGGGUAACUUUGCUUCAUUGGCGUCUUCCCUGUCUUGAUGAAACAACUUUUGAUAAUAAAAAAGAAAAGUAAGCCAUACCUCUACAUUAAUUUAACAAGAGAAAGGUACUCAAUGAUGAGGUACUUCUUUUUAUCUCUUAUGUGAAGACAAGAACUUACCACAAAUGGCUGCUGUAUGCUUCCAACCACAAGAAACUUGAACAACAGAAGACUCCAAGAAUGGCUCUUGAAUCUUUUCAGGUUGAUGAAUGGCAUAUGAGGACCUAGAAAAAAAUAUGAAGAAUCAAAACACUUGAUUGCAGCAGAAAAAAGGGAAUGGCAAUGUAAAAAAUGAAGACGACAAAGUAACAAGUUGUAAUAAUAAAAAGGAUACCCUAUGCCAAGGCAACCAUUUUCAUUUGAACCCCAAGUAUAAAGCUCACCAGAAUCUAAAAAACAAACACAAAAUAGAAUGAAGCAAUACAGGAAUUAUCAAAAAUGAAGUCAUGUUUAAGUUCCGAAGCUGAUGAUUACUUGUCAAGACACAGGUAUGAUAGCCACCACAAGCAACUUCUUCAGCGUAUGGAAGUUCACUGACCAACAAUGGUUUUGUUGCAUUACUAGUCUCCUUCAAGCGCUGAAUAUGUUGGUUGAAGAAUUUUUUGUCAUUGCAAGUAGAAGAAGAAAAAGUAACAAUUCACACUGAUUGCACAAUUUGCACUUACUAAUUUGUCAAUCCCUUUCUCCCCAAAUAUAAAAACAGAACCAUUUUCUGCAAGAUUUGCAUGAUAGAAGCGCAAAAACCAAAGAUUAAUCGCAGAUGCAGGGUACGACCAAGGUAUGAAACAAGGAAGGUAUAAUUAAAUUCAAUUACCAUCCGUACAAGCCGAGUUUAGCAUCCCAGCAGCUACAUAGUUUACCUAAAAAUAUUUCAAAAAUGAAGCCAAAACAGCAUAGGUGAUAAGCAACAAGUUUGAAUAAAAGUUAUCGAUCUUAUAUAGUAACAACAAGGCAUCAAAUUUAAUCGCACCUUGAUUCCUUCAAGAUCCUUUAUAAGCCUUGGGGUGUACUCACUGCAUGAUGUCAAAAACUACGUCUUAAUAGAUCCAAAUAGAUUAAAAAGAAUGGUAAUCUUCCAAUUAAUCUCUCAAGAAUUUUGAUUCAGGGUCCAACUCAACCCAACAAAACCAACUUGUAGGGAUGGGAUGCCCAAACCUUAUAAGCACUACUUCGGCCAUAUGAAGCGCAAACUACUAUGAACGGAAUAACAUGAUCUCAACACACCCCUUGACACUCAAAACUGAACAUUUGCAGCGUGUGGAUUGAUUGAGAUCUUGAUACAAUAACAAAUCAAAGAUAUAUUCCAAUACCAUCUUGAGCUUGGAUCUUACUCAAUCCCACAAAUUGGUCUUACAAGGUGAGGAUCGCUCAAACCUUAUAAACAAGACCUACACCUUAUUUGUAGUCAAUGUGGGCCUUUAGCCCAACCCCGUAUGCUCAAGUUGGACAUGUGACGCGUGAACUAAUACAGGGGAAAUAAAAGAGAUCUCAAUAGAAUCCUAGUCUAAGUUGUUGGCGAUACUAACAAAGUGCAGAACACAUAACAUUGUCACAUUUAUUUUCUUUUAACUUUUUUCAGUUUAAAAGAUUUAACUAGAGCGAGAUUUAGGAGUAGCUGACGUAAUUUUGGGUCUUAUGUGGUCGAAAGCUUUGGGGAAGGCCAUAACGAACUGGAGGGCAUGUAAUUAGGCUGAAGGGCAAUGGUACUUCUAACCAGAGGCGAACGAGAAGCAAAUGAUGGGGAGAAAAGAUGAAGGAGAUAGUAAAAUGAUGAGUUUUGAUUUUAGUCCCUGUAUCAACUAAAUGAUGGAUGAGUCACAGAGAGAAAGAGAGCCACGUCAUUAAAAUUUGCCACGUCACACAUACCAAUGAGAAUCCUGUUAGCCACAUCAGCUUUUUUGUAACAGAGGUUGACGUCAGGAACAAAAAUGAUGGUUUCUAACUUUGUAUUGACGAAAUCCAAACAAAAACACUUAUAGACCAAAACAAAAAAUAUUGCUACAUUUGCAGACAGAAAAAUAUUUUUAAAUCUACAAAGAUCUACUAUUUAUACUAGGUUAACUGCUCCAACUAUUUGUAACAAACUAAAGUAAUACUACAUCCGAGUAAACUAUACUCUCGUACAUUUAUGCAGAGGUAUACAUUUAGUUCUUUUACAGCAAGGGGUGACUCCUAUCAGUGUAAGACCAUAUAGGUAUCUAGUACCCUCACUGUUAAAUGGAUAAGAUGGAAAAACAAGCUCAGUCUGUGCUGCGGUAGAGAAUUAUUCAGAUCAGCUAUAAUAAAUUUCCAGUUUCGUUGUAUUGAUAAAGAAGAAGGAUAAUUCAUGGAGGAUGUGUAUUGAACAUAAGUAUUCAAUAGGGUCACUGUACAAGACAAAUACUCCUUUCUCGGUGUAUGAACUUAUUGAUGAAUUGUUUUGGAUAGUUCCUUACUCUUUUCUAAACUUGACCUUAAAACCGGCAACAAAAUCUGGAAGGUGGAGAAUGUUCAAAAGACGACGUGUUAAACACAAGGGCCAUUAAAGUUCCUGGUCAUGUCUUUGGAUGAACACAAUCAUAAUUUUGAGGAAGUCCUUCAAGAAUCACAUCCAAGUGUUCAUGAGAAGUGACUAAAUGACCAACAGAAAAGAGUGCAUUAGCCAACCAAUGCAUUUACAAGUAAGAGAAACUCAGGAACUGUGAGAAUAUCCAGAGAGGUUUACACAAUUCUGAGCAUCAUAGGCUAGCUUUAGAAAGAAAUAGGUGCGAAUAAGAGUAAACACAACCAAGACUCAAGACAGAAUCCCACUAGAAAGUGAACAUUGAAUACACAAAGUGAUCAUGUUGUUCCCAAGCAAGAUAGGUUGGAUUGAUGCAGUUAGAGUCAUGAUCUUGUUCUGACAAAAAAUAAAACAGAAUCGUUGGAGAAACAAAAAAAUGAGUGCCUUUAUAACAAAUUUGAUACAUAGCCUCUAACGUAAUAAUGAAAUAUUAGCAGUAAUUUUCAAAAACUCCAAAUUUCUUGAAUGAGUGCAGGAUAGCAGAUGAGGAGGAAAAAUUGGAUGCUCACUUGAUCUAGGAGUAUGGAAGACAGAAAAAAUAGUGUUGUUUUUAACAUGUUCCGAUUAUAAUUCUAUCAAAAAAAGAGUGAAAAUAGUACAAUGCUUUCUUUUAAUGUAAAACAUUUAAUAGGGCAAAGCACCAAGGAGGUAAGUCAUAGAUUUUAUACCAUAAGGUGGCAAAGUAGUUUGGGAACAAAUCAUACAAGGUAAAGUGUAUUAAUAUAACAUAAAUACAAAACAAUGCAGCAAAAAUUUGUGAAAGAAAAGACAGGAAAAAACCUGUAGCUUUUGAAGAAUCCUAGUACGCUUGACUCAUGGCCAUGACCAAGUCGACCAGACACUCCCAUUCCCCAACUAAACGCCUCUCCUCCAUCUAGAAAAGACAGAAACAACAAUAGAGAACAUAAUAAUAUUCUAUUUAGAGCAUGAUACAAGGCACGCUAGCUGUGAACAACAGGACUAAAAAAGUAGGAUUAACCUCAUAGGAAGUGAUACCCUAUGUUCUUUUUUAUUGACACAAGUAAUAGCUACCGUGAAGAGAAUACAAAUUGUCAAAUACCAUCUCAUCCUGAAAGUUCAAGCAACUAGGUCCAUGCCUGAGUUAUACUUUUCAUACAUUAUCACUACCAAGGCCCUCAAACACUCUUUUAACACUACCAAGGCCCACAGGCAACUCAGUCCAUGCCUGUGUUAUACAUUUCAUACAUCAAUACUACCAAGGCCCUCAAACACUCUUUUAGAUUGAAGUGCAUAAUCCUGGCACACACAGAACACUCAUGUAGCACUAGUAUGUACAUUAUUGACUUAUACAUCAUUUCGCAAUCGAUAUAUAUAUAUAUAUAUAUAUAUAUAUAUAUAUAUAUAUUAUAAAAGGGUCUUAAUUUAUGAAAGGGUCUUAAUUUUAUUGUAAGAGAAUUUGAACCGAAAAAACAAUGCAACCACCUUUGUCAUGUUAAUCACCUUCAAGAUAUGAGGAUAUUUCUAAGUCACGUAAUGCAGGAUACUAAAAAGAAGCUAUAAUCAAGUCAAAAUUCAAGAUUGCUUACAAUAAGCUCACUCUAAUGUUUUAUAGAUCUUUAGUAUGCUGUUACCAUUUAUUAAUUUCAUUUCAGAUCUUUCAUUCCAGGGAUUUUUCAAGCAUUUGUUCAUUUUUUUUAUGACCAUAGGCCAUAGUUAGGCAUUAUUAGUUAAAAUGUAAUCUUAAUUCUUGAGCUAAAGCCACCCCAUCUAAACCUUUUUUUUUUUUCGCCUUGGAUAUGAAAAUUCAUCCGCAAUGUAUCUCAGAGGGAGAGAAUGAUGCACAUAUCAGAUGAGGAAAAUUUAUUUUAUUUUAGGAAUAACUGUGUUAGCUUAUUUCUAAAUAUCUUAUAAUAAUGAAGAAUAAAAUUAUUCUUAAGGAUUCUCUUUGAAGUUUUUCUUUGUGUGAUUAGUAUAAUGAGUCUUACUUGACCUGAUUCCCAAUAGUAACAAUCUCAGUAUAAGUUUUUUCUUGGUGCUGUCUAUUGUAUCACAUAGUAAUUCACCUAAUCAAUUUCAUACCCAAUUAUUCAAAGUCUCUUCUCUCUUUUUCUAUCUGAAACCAGUAAAUUUCUAAUUGGGAUGUGUCAAGA